UGGGGAAUAUUGGACAAUGGGUGCAAGCCUGAUCCAGCAAUGCCGCGUGUGUGAAGAAGGCCUGCGGGUUGUAAAGCACUUUCAGUGGGGAAGAACGGGCCAAGGUUAAUACCCCUGGCUUCUGACGUACCCACAGAUG
This 139-nucleotide ribosomal RNA is filed under the name uncultured bacterium. RNAcentral describes it as "partial 16S ribosomal RNA". It matches the Rfam family "Bacterial small subunit ribosomal RNA", at positions 355 to 487 of the family's 1533-position model. The record is from RNAcentral.